AGGGCACUGGAAGGUCCCUAAACCGAAAGGGGCUCUGCCCGCCCGAGGAUGGGCCGGCGGCCGAUUAGGUAGUUGGUGGGGUAACGGCCCACCAAGCCCAUAAUCGGUACGGGCAGUGAGAGCUGGAGCCCGGAGAUGGACACUGAGACACGGGUCCAGGCCCUACGGGGCGCAGCAGGCGCGAAACCUCCGCAAUGCUCGAAAGAGCGACGGGGGGACCCCAAGUGCCGUGGUACAACCACGGCUUUUCCGGAGUGUAAGAAGCUCCGGGAAUAAGGGCUGGGCAAGGCCGGUGGCAGCCGCCGCGGUAAUACCGGCGGCCCGAGUGGUGGCCACUAUUAUUGGGCCUAAAGCGUCCGUAGCCGGGCUUGUAAGUCCCUGGCGAAAUCCCACGGCUCAACCGUGGGGCUUGCUGGGGAUACUGCAAGCCUUGGGACCGGGAGAGGCCGGGGGUACUCCUGGGGUAGGGGUGAAAUCCUAUAAUCCCAGGAGGACCGCCAGUGGCGAAGGCGCCCGGCUGGAACGGGUCCGACGGUGAGGGACGAAGGCCAGGGGAGCAAACCGGAUUAGAUACCCGGGUAGUCCUGGCUGUAAAGGAUGCGGGCUAGGUGUUGCUUGGACCUCGAGUCCAAGCAGUGCCGCAGGGAAGCCGU
Molecule: ribosomal RNA, 653 nt
Filed under: uncultured archaeon
Lineage: Archaea
Description: bacterial SSU rRNA
Rfam family: Archaeal small subunit ribosomal RNA
Source: RNAcentral